RNAcentral lists this long non-coding RNA (522 nucleotides) under Mus spicilegus (steppe mouse). RNAcentral's name for it is "lncRNA (ENSMSIG00000012564.1)". The record is from RNAcentral. Lineage: Eukaryota; Metazoa; Chordata; Mammalia; Rodentia; Muridae.
GAGCUAUCCUGAGAGGAAGGAUCUGCGCCUGCGCCAAGGCCAGAAAGGCUGAGACAGGGCUCCUAAAUGGAAAGGCACUCUCAGCCAGAUGGAGUUUAGCUGAGUGCAGAGGAUUUAUGAGAACACAAUAGCACAGAUUGCUGAAGGACAGAACGGUCGGAGUGGGACUAGGAGCCUGGAGCGGGGGCGGGGACUUGAACAUUCCAGGCUCUGUGAACUAAGGUAAGUAGGCCUCUCCAUCCUGAUAGCGAGGGAGGCCUCAUCGGGUUUGACCCCGGCAUGCUUUGACACCUUUUGCACAGUUGGAAGAUGCUCUGACUUUAAAGUAGAAAGCAGACUUGACUGAAGCUGAUUGACACAGGUCAAGGGGACUUCAAGGAAGAAAGCCAGCCUUAGACUGACAUCAGAGAACCAAACUCCGGUGUCUAAGCUCAAGGGGCUUUUGAUGAGGAGACCAAAAGGCAGCUCUGAGCACAACCCACCCAAGAGCUUUCCUGAAUUAAUGAGCUAGCUACAGGCUCA